This 148-nucleotide small RNA is filed under the name Callithrix jacchus (white-tufted-ear marmoset). RNAcentral describes it as "Metazoan signal recognition particle RNA (ENSCJAG00000080706.1)". Lineage: Eukaryota; Metazoa; Chordata; Mammalia; Primates; Cebidae. The record is from Rfam by way of RNAcentral.
GCCAGGUGUGGUGGUGUGCACCUGUAGUCUCAGCUACUUGGGAGGCUGAGGCAGGAGGAUCACUUAAGCCCAGGAGUUCCAGGUUGCUGUAAGCAAUGACUAUGCCACUGCAUACUAGCCUGGGUGAUAAAGUGAAACUCUGUCUCUU